AAGCUCGUAGUUGAAUUUCGGGGUUAGUAGGUUGGUCAUGCCUCUGGUAUGUACUGGUCUCACUGAUUCCUCCUUCCUUAUGAACCGUAAUGCCAUUAAUUUGGUGUUGCGGGGAAUUUGGACUGUUAUUUUGAAAAAAUUGAGUGUUUAAAAGCAAGCUAACGCUUGAAUACAUUAGCAUGGAAUAAUGAAAUAGGACGUUCGAUCUUAUUUUGUUGGUUUCUAGGUAUUGACGUAAUGAUUAAUAGGAUAGUUGGG
This 258-nucleotide ribosomal RNA is filed under the name uncultured Glomus. RNAcentral's name for it is "partial 18S ribosomal RNA". It matches the Rfam family "Eukaryotic small subunit ribosomal RNA", at positions 624 to 885 of the family's 1831-position model. The record is from RNAcentral. Lineage: Eukaryota; Fungi; Glomeromycota; Glomeromycetes; Glomerales; Glomeraceae.